Molecule: small RNA, 67 nt
Filed under: Rhodella violacea
Lineage: Eukaryota; Rhodophyta; Rhodellophyceae; Rhodellales; Rhodellaceae
Description: partial Mitochondrion-encoded tmRNA
Source: RNAcentral
AUAUAGAAUCAUAAGCAAUCUUUGUCACCACCUGCCAUAUUACUAAACUCAAAUGGAAAUAAUAAUA